GCGGGGCGGCGUGCUAUACAUGCAAGUCGAACGAACUCUGGUAUUGAUUGGUGCUUGCAUCAUGAUUUACAUUUGAGUGAGUGGCGAACUGGUGAGUAACACGUGGGAAACCUGCCCAGAAGCGGGGGAUAACACCUGGAAACAGAUGCUAAUACCGCAUAACAACUUGGACCGCAUGGUCCGAGCUUGAAAGAUGGCUUCGGCUAUCACUUUUGGAUGGUCCCGCGGCGUAUUAGCUAGAUGGUGGGGUAACGGCUCACCAUGGCAAUGAUACGUAGCCGACCUGAGAGGGUAAUCGGCCACAUUGGGACUGAGACACGGCCCAAACUCCUACGGGAGGCAGCAGUAGGGAAUCUUCCACAAUGGACGAAAGUCUGAUGGAGCAACGCCGCGUGAGUGAAGAAGGGUUUCGGCUCGUAAAACUCUGUUGUUAAAGAAGAACAUAUCUGAGAGUAACUGUUCAGGUAUUGACGGUAUUUAACCAGAAAGCCACGGCUAACUACGUGCCAGCAGCCGCGGUAAUACGUAGGUGGCAAGCGUUGUCCGGAUUUAUUGGGCGUAAAGCGAGCGCAGGCGGUUUUUUAAGUCUGAUGUGAAAGCCUUCGGCUCAACCGAAGAAGUGCAUCGGAAACUGGGAAACUUGAGUGCAGAAGAGGACAGUGGAACUCCAUGUGUAGCGGUGAAAUGCGUAGAUAUAUGGAAGAACACCAGUGGCGAAGGCGGCUGUCUGGUCUGUAACUGACGCUGAGGCUCGAAAGUAUGGGUAGCAAACAGGAUUAGAUACCCUGGUAGUCCAUACCGUAAACGAUGAAUGCUAAGUGUUGGAGGGUUUCCGCCCUUCAGUGCUGCAGCUAACGCAUUAAGCAUUCCGCCUGGGGAGUACGGCCGCAAGGCUGAAACUCAAAGGAAUUGACGGGGGCCCGCACAAGCGGUGGAGCAUGUGGUUUAAUUCGAAGCUACGCGAAGAACCUUACCAGGUCUUGACAUACUAUGCAAAUCUAAGAGAUUAGACGUUCCCUUCGGGGACAUGGAUACAGGUGGUGCAUGGUUGUCGUCAGCUCGUGUCGUGAGAUGUUGGGUUAAGUCCCGCAACGAGCGCAACCCUUAUUAUCAGUUGCCAGCAUUAAGUUGGGCACUCUGGUGAGACUGCCGGUGACAAACCGGAGGAAGGUGGGGAUGACGUCAAAUCAUCAUGCCCCUUAUGACCUGGGCUACACACGUGCUACAAUGGAUGGUACAACGAGUUGCGAACUCGCGAGAGUAAGCUAAUCUCUUAAAGCCAUUCUCAGUUCGGAUUGUAGGCUGCAACUCGCCUACAUGAAGUCGGAAUCGCUAGUAAUCGCGGAUCAGCAUGCCGCGGUGAAUACGUUCCCGGGCCUUGUACACACCGCCCGUCACACCAUGAGAGUUUGUAACACCCAAAGUCGGUGGGGUAACCUUUUAGGAACCAGCCGCCUAAGGUGACAGGUUGG
RNAcentral lists this ribosomal RNA (1472 nucleotides) under Lactiplantibacillus plantarum. RNAcentral describes it as "bacterial SSU rRNA". It matches the Rfam family "Bacterial small subunit ribosomal RNA". Lineage: Bacteria; Bacillati; Bacillota; Bacilli; Lactobacillales; Lactobacillaceae. The record is from RNAcentral.